GUAAGGCUUUCACAGAUUAUUUGAACGGAUAAGUCCAUUUUUAAAUGGAUACUGUUUGAAGACGAUCUUUCCCGGCUGGGAAAAAUUGGUCGAAUAAUGUGUGAAAGUACACGAGCGGCGAACGGCUGAGUAACGCGUAGGAACGUACCCCAAAGUGAGGGAUAAGCUCUGGAAACAGAGUCUAAUACCGCAUAUGAUCUAAGGAUUAAAGCCCCCCGGGGCGCUUUGGGAGCGGCCUGCGUAAGAUUAGUUUGUUGGUGAGGUAAUGGCUCACCAAGACUACGAUCUUUAGCUGGUCUGAGAGGAUGAUCAGCCGGACUGGUACUGAGACACGGACCAGACUCCUACGGGAGGCAGCAGUGAGGAAUAUUGGACAAUGGGCGCAAGCCUGAUCCAGCCAUGCCGCGUGCAGGAAGAAGCAUCUAUGGUGUGUAAACUGCUUUUGUACAGGAAGAAACAUCCCGACGUGUCGGGACUUGACGGUACUGUAAGAAUAAGGAUCGGCUAACUCCGUGCCAGCAGCCGCGGUAAUACGGAGGAUCCAAGCGUUAUCCGGAAUCAUUGGGUUUAAAGGGUCCGUAGGCGGCUUGGUAAGUCAGUGGUGAAAGCCCGCAGCUCAACUGUGGAACGGCCAUUGAUACUGCCAGACUUGAAUUACAAGGAAGUAACUAGAAUAUGUAGUGUAGCGGUGAAAUGCUUAGGUAUUACAUGGAAUACCAAUUGCGAAGGCAGGUUACUACUUGUGGAUUGACGCUGAUGGACGAAAGCGUGGGGGAGCGAACAGGAUUAGAUACCCUGGGU
RNAcentral lists this ribosomal RNA (801 nucleotides) under uncultured bacterium. RNAcentral describes it as "bacterial SSU rRNA". It matches the Rfam family "Bacterial small subunit ribosomal RNA", at positions 1 to 792 of the family's 1533-position model. The record is from RNAcentral.